CGGAGGUGUUCCCCUCCUGGUCUCCCCUCUUCUAUCCGAGCUCGGCAGAGAGAGAUGUAUGUGCUCGUGACAUCUAUCUACGGCAUGUCGCCAUGUCGGGGUCGAUGAUCAGGUCAUUGGCCGGUGAUACAUAGCCCCCCUGAUCGGAUGCGGUCGAUGUCCGGGGAGCGGUGGCAGCGCGCGCGGACGUCGGCACCGUCGGUCGCCGGGCUAGGAUAGAAGAAGAAAUAGGUCAUGUUGCUAGCAGCUUCUGUUCAUUUAUUCACUUCUGUCGUUGUUACGGUCUUUCGCAGGUUCUUUUUUGUACCCUCCUUUUGUGGGAGCGUAGCAUAGGUGUUUCUUGUCGAUGUUAAUCGAGAUCGUUCUUCUGGACAA
Molecule: long non-coding RNA, 375 nt
Organism: Triticum dicoccoides
Lineage: Eukaryota; Viridiplantae; Streptophyta; Magnoliopsida; Poales; Poaceae
Exons: 2
Source: RefSeq, a predicted model, not a curated record